UAACCAGUCUGGUGCCGCACAUGAAUGACUCGGGUGCAGCACACGAAUAAGUACACUGAUAGAAGGAUUUGUUUAGGAAUGCUUAGCAAGUGUGUGUGAAAAGAAUACGUAAAUUUAGUCGUCUUAAUUAUUAUUUAAUAUUUAUCUACAUUCAGUAUUCAAUACCGCCAAGUUUCUCAGAAAGUUUGGCGCCAGUAUGGAGCCGCAACUGGAAUGCAAGUUUCUGAGAAAAUUGAACGAAAAUUUACCGUCAACUUAUGAUUGCCAACUUUUGCAAGCAACUUUUGCCACCAACUUUCUCAGAAAGUGACCGAAUAAAAUCGAACAACGAGGAAAUUACGACCUGAUUGAUUUUGAUCAUUUGGGGCCCAGUUACAUGUUCACUGAAGCGGUUUUACUGUGGGGCUUGUUUAUCUUUGGAAUUAAAGUUCUCUUUCAUAAGCAUUCGAAAAUUUCCAGACAAAUCAAAAUGCGCCGAUAUUUUAGGAACAAAAUUUCUGUAAGAUCGCAGCCGAGAAUCAUUUUCUUUUCCGGGCGAAUGGUUCUCUCAAACAAUCGCAAUCGGGCUUAAAUAAAAAAAUAAUAAAUUAAACAUUCGGGCUGAGAAAACAACCGAAAAAACCGAAAUCUAAAAAUCUCAUAGUACUUUAUCGCAAAAAUGUUGUUCUGAAUUUUUAAAUUUUCGAGUGUGUGUUGAUUUGUCAUCACCAGUUAUUUGCGACUGAAAUUAUGUCAUAAAUUAAAUUGAUACUUGUUGUGAAUUGUUACCUACUACUUGAUAUGUAUCAAUUAUUCUAAUUCAUAAAUAAAAAUUUCAUUGAG
Microplitis demolitor is the source of this 822-nucleotide long non-coding RNA. RefSeq lists it as uncharacterized. The record is from RefSeq and is a predicted model, not a curated record. Lineage: Eukaryota; Metazoa; Arthropoda; Insecta; Hymenoptera; Braconidae. The transcript has 2 exons.